UUGACAUACCAUUGACAGGCACAGAGAUGUGCUCUCCUUCGGGCAAUGGAUACAGGUGGUGCAUGGUUGUCGUCAGCUCGUGCCGUGAGGUGUGGGUUAAGUCCCGCAACGAGCGCAACCCUCAUUGUUAGUUACUACCAUUCAGUUGAGGACUCUAAUGAGACUGCCAACGACAAGUUGGAGGAAGGUGGGGAUGACGUCAAAUCAUCAUGCCCUUUAUGACCUGGGCUACAAACGUACUACAAUGGCCAAUACAAAGAGAUGCGAAGCGGUGACGUGGAGCGAACCUCAGAAAGUUGGUCUCAGUUCAGAUUGAAGUCUGCAACUCGACUUCAUGAAGGCGGAAUCGCUAGUAAUCGCGGGUCAGCAGACCGCGGUGAAUACGUUCCCGGGUUUU
This 397-nucleotide ribosomal RNA is filed under the name uncultured Mollicutes bacterium. RNAcentral describes it as "bacterial SSU rRNA". It matches the Rfam family "Bacterial small subunit ribosomal RNA", at positions 981 to 1382 of the family's 1533-position model. The record is from RNAcentral. Lineage: Bacteria; Bacillati; Mycoplasmatota; Mollicutes.